CACUGAGCAAAGAAUUGCCCAUCUGGGAUAUCAUUCUCCUCCGGGAAAGGGUCUCCAAUCACCUCUCAUAAGGAGACAUGUCCUGCUGCCUCACUGCAGUGGCCUCAGGGGUAAGGAAUCGGAACCCACCCAGUGUGAAGAAUAAACCUGGACUCUCGGCAACACAGGAAGAAAAAGCCUACAGUACAGAUACCACGGCGACAAGGACUCAAGGCCUCCUAGCGAGAUUACAUCCUUGUCAAAGGUUGGAAAGAGGGAAAGCUCAAACCCACCUGGGAAGGACCUUACCUGGUACUCCUAACAACUGAAACAGCAGUCCAGAAAGCCGAAAAAGGGUGAACCCACCACACAAGUGAAGAAGGCCCCACCUCUGGCAAAGUCAUGGACCAUCACUCCAGGACCAACAGCCUCAAAACUAACAUUCAAACGGAUGGCCAACAGAUCGUCUUCAGCAUGCACUCCUCUGGAAUGUAUUUUAAAGCACUGGGACUCCUUCAACCCUGAAACUUUGAAAAAAAAGUGACUCAUAUUCUAUUGCACAAGAGCAUAGCCUUCUUACUAUCUUGGGGACAGAUAAACCUGGCCCGCUGCGGGGAGCCUUGAUUUUAAUAUUAUCCAACAGUUAGAUCUUUUCUCCAAACAGAAGGGCAAAUGGACUGAGAUCCCCUAUGUACAGACUUUCUUUGCCCUGUGAAACAGCCCAGACCUUUACAAGUUCUGUACAAUCGACCCAGUUCUUUUAGCGGCCACAGGGAAUCGUUCCCCAGAGCUAAAGCAGGUUCCAGAGGAGCAAUCUGAAACAGCUAUUGAAUGUCCCAAUCCUUCCAGUCCCCCUCCAAUCAUACUAUCAGCUCCUCCAGCUCCACUAUCUCCAGUAUAUCCUACUCUCCCCGCUUCAUUCUUACCUCUGCAGGAAAUGGCUGAUAGGAAUGGUGCCAUGAGGGUUCAAGUUUCCUUCUCAUUACAGGACCUUAAGCAAAUAAACAGAGACUUGGCCCAAUUUUCUGAUGACUCCGAUAUAUAUAGAAGUUUUCCAAAAUUUAACUCAGGUGUUUGAUCUCACAUAGAGGGAUGUUAUGUUGCUGCUAAGUCAGACCCUCACUGGGGCUGAAAAGCCGGCAGUUCCACAGGCAGCAGAAAAAUAUGGAUAUAAGCAACAUGCCUCCUGUAGCAGACCAAGGAGAAAAAGAGGAGACAAGGAAGGUACAGGAAUCGACCGACUCCUGGAAACAUCACACUCAAGUCAAAGCCUGGAGAGCUGAGGGAGCAACCCCCAACAGCCCAGAGGAAAGUCUUGAAUAGCAAUGUGAAGAAAUGGAAGAUCUUAAGCUGAAAAUCAUAAAAGAUAAGUAACUAUAUGAGAACUAAUCAUCUUAUUCAGUCUCACCCCUACCUCAACAAAUACUUUUUGUCAUUUCUACCUCUCCUUUUGAGCCAAAUAUCAGAACUUCUUUUUGGUGGAAAUUAUUUACUACUCCAACCUUGCAGGAAUUGCUAUACUCACUCUGCUAUUUGCAGUAGAACUAUAUACUGUAGCACCCUCAGGGUGGAAUGUCAGAGAGAGAAUCUCAAUUACUACAGCAUUUUGCUUAAUUAUUAACCUCAUAGCAGGAAUAACAGUUACUAACAGGAAGUAAACAUGAGCAUUUUACUAU
This is a long non-coding RNA of Pan troglodytes (chimpanzee), 1655 nucleotides long. RefSeq lists it as uncharacterized. The transcript is spliced from 4 exons. Lineage: Eukaryota; Metazoa; Chordata; Mammalia; Primates; Hominidae. The record is from RefSeq and is a predicted model, not a curated record.